RNAcentral lists this ribosomal RNA (370 nucleotides) under uncultured bacterium. Its description in RNAcentral is "bacterial SSU rRNA". It matches the Rfam family "Bacterial small subunit ribosomal RNA", at positions 28 to 401 of the family's 1533-position model. The record is from RNAcentral.
GAUGAACGCUAGCGGGAGGCCUAACACAUGCAAGCCGAGCGGUAGAGAUUCUUCGGAAUCUUGAGAGCGGCGUACGGUGCGGAACACGUGUGCAACCUACCUUUAUCUGGAGGAUAGCCUUUCGAAAGGAAGAUUAAUACUCCAUAAUAUAUUGAUUGGCAUCAAUUGAUAUUGAAAGCUCCGGCGGAUAGAGAUGGGCACGCGCAAGAUUAGUUAGUUGGUGAGGUAACGGCUCACCAAGACGAUGAUCUUUAGGGGGCCUGAGAGGGUAAUCCCCACACUGGUACUGAGACACGGACCAGACUCCUACGGGAGGCAGCAGUGAGGAAUAUUGGUCAAUGGGUGGCAAGCCUGAACCAGCCAUCCCGCC